GUAUAUUUAAGUUGUUGCAGUUAAAAAGCUCGUAGUUGGAUUUCGGUUAAGAGCGACCGGUCCGCCGUUUGGUGUGCACUGGUUGGUUUUAACUUCCUGUAGAGGACGUGCUCUGGGCUUAACGGUCUGGACUCGGAGUCUACGUGGUUACUUUGAAAAAAUUAGAGUGUUCAAAGCGGGCUUACGCUUGAAUAUUUCAGCAUGGAAUAACACUAUAGGACUCCUGUCCUAUUUCGUUGGUCUCGGGACGGGAGUAAUGAUUAAGAGGAACAGUUGGGGGCAUUCGUAUUUCAUUGUCAGAGGUGAAAUUCUUGGAUUUAUGAAAGACGAACUUCUGCGAAAGCAUUUGCCAAGGAUGUUUUCAUUAAUCAAGAACGAAAGUUGGGGGCUCGAAGAUGAUUAGAUACCAUCCUAGUCUCAACCAUAAACGAUGCCGACUAGGGAUUGGCGGAUGUUAAUUGAUGACUCCGCCAGCACCUUAUGAGAAAUCAAAGUUUUUGGGUUCCGGGGGGAGUAUGGUCGCAAGGCUGAAACUUAAAGGAAUUGACGG
This 550-nucleotide ribosomal RNA is filed under the name uncultured Chlorophyta. Its description in RNAcentral is "SSU rRNA". It matches the Rfam family "Eukaryotic small subunit ribosomal RNA", at positions 599 to 1159 of the family's 1831-position model. Lineage: Eukaryota; Viridiplantae; Chlorophyta. The record is from RNAcentral.